Molecule: ribosomal RNA, 468 nt
Filed under: uncultured bacterium
Lineage: Bacteria
Description: partial 16S ribosomal RNA
Rfam family: Bacterial small subunit ribosomal RNA
Source: RNAcentral
GACGAACGCUGGCGGCGUGCUUAACACAUGCAAGUCGAACGGAAAGUCCCGGCUUUGUGGGGCUGCGCGAGGUGCGAACGGGUGAGUAACACUUGAGUAACCUACCCCUGACUUUGGGAUAACUUAAUGAAGCUUGGGCUAAUACCGGAUAGGAGUUCCUGCUGCUGGGUGGGGGUGGGAAAGUUUCGGCGGUUGGGGGUGGACUCGCCGCUUAUCAGCUUGUUGGUUGGGUAGUGGCUUACCAAGGCUUUGACGGGUAGCCGGCCUGAACGGGUGACCGGACCCGCUGGGACUGAGCUACGGCACAGACCCCUACGGGAGGCGGCAGUGCGGUAUAUUGUAUUAUGGACGGAAGCAUGAUGCAGCACCGCCGCGUGCGGGAUGACGGCAAUCGGGUUGUAUUGCGCUUCCCCCUGUGACGAAGCGUGAGUGACGGUAAUGGGUAAAGAAGCACCGGCUAACUACGUG